GCCCGGGUGGCUCAGUCGGUUGGGCGUCUGACUUCAGCUCAGGUCAUGAUCUCACGGUUCGUGAGUUCGAGGCCCACGUCGGGCU
This 85-nucleotide transfer RNA is filed under the name Felis catus (domestic cat). It matches the Rfam family "tRNA". From Rfam's summary of the family: Transfer RNA (tRNA) molecules are approximately 80 nucleotides in length. Their secondary structure includes four short double-helical elements and three loops (D, anti-codon, and T loops). The record is from Rfam by way of RNAcentral. Lineage: Eukaryota; Metazoa; Chordata; Mammalia; Carnivora; Felidae.